This 436-nucleotide ribosomal RNA is filed under the name Cyrtopodion scabrum. Its description in RNAcentral is "partial 16S ribosomal RNA". It matches the Rfam family "Bacterial large subunit ribosomal RNA", at positions 1998 to 2597 of the family's 2925-position model. Lineage: Eukaryota; Metazoa; Chordata; Lepidosauria; Squamata; Gekkonidae. The record is from RNAcentral.
GGCUAACCGAAGGUGCACCUGUCUCCUGAAGCCAUACAAUGAAACUGAGCCCCUAGUACAAACGCUAGGAUUCCCCCAUAAGACGAGAAGACCCUGUGGAGCUUACAACUAACAACGCUAAAACUACCGCGCACAAAGUCUUAAGACCCACACAUAACUAGAUAUUUAGCGCCACCUUUGAGUUGGGGCGACUACGGAACAAAACAAAACUUCCACGAAACAGGACUAACCGCCCCCUAUAGGCUAACACGCCAACGAGAACCCCACACAUUGACCCAGUAUUACUGAUUAACGAACCAAGUUACCCCAGGGAUAACAGCGCCAUCCCCUUUAAGAGUCCUUAUCGCCAAGGGGGCUUACGACCUCGAUGUUGGAUCAAGACUUCCAGGUGGUGUAGCAGCUACCAAAGGUUCGUUUGUUCAACGAUUAAUGUCCU